Molecule: non-coding RNA, 586 nt
Organism: Danio rerio (zebrafish)
Lineage: Eukaryota; Metazoa; Chordata; Actinopteri; Cypriniformes; Danionidae
Source: Ensembl
ACUGCCUACUUGAAAAAAUCAGACUGUUCCUGAGGAGUUUGAACAAGCAAGAGAGAGAAGUUCAAUAAAAGAUGGAUGGUUUGAGACCAGCACUGUUUGGAUUGUUUUUAGUGUCUUUCUCCAAUUCUAAACCGUUGGACCACCUGACAUUAUCCAGUCAAUCGUCUGAAUCAAACGACUCCAGCUCUUCAGAGGAGAUCUCCAUCCCAAACCAAUCAGUGGAGCCUCUGGAGCUGCACACCGGGAUCCCUGACAUCCUGGAGGAUCCUCAGAACCAGACCAGCCCACAACGAGCACAACAUCUAUCCGCCAUCCCACUGCUGGAUGCCCUGAACAGCAGCAGCAGCAGCAGCGUCGUGUCUCUUCAUCCAGAGGUGACUGUGGAUCCGGGUGUCCAGCGGGUGGUGUUUCCAGACCUCAGCACUCCAGAGCCACGCUGCUACACACUGCCCAUCACCACCGCCCCGCCAAAACCUGCCCGAGGAGACAGCAUUUAAUUCAAGAGGAAACUGAGCCUGAAAACAUGGGGUUGUUGCAGAUUUACCUUGAUAUUGGAGAAAAGCUUGUAUCAUCUCUUCACUGCUCU